AUACGGAGGGGGCAAGCGUUGUUCGGAUUUACUGGGCGUAAAGGGCGCGUAGGCGGGACGUCAAGUCAGGGGUGAAAGGCCUGGGCUCAACCUGGGAACUGCCUUUGAAACUGACAUUCUUGAGUCCGGGAGAGGAUGGCGGAAUUCCCAGUGUAGAGGUGAAAUUCGUAGAUAUUGGGAAGAACACCAGUGGCGAAGGCGGCUACCUGGACCGGUACUGACGCUGAGGUGCGAAAGCGUGGGGAGCAAACAGGAUUAGAAACCCCGGUAGUCC
This 274-nucleotide ribosomal RNA is filed under the name uncultured bacterium. Its description in RNAcentral is "partial 16S ribosomal RNA". It matches the Rfam family "Bacterial small subunit ribosomal RNA", at positions 523 to 796 of the family's 1533-position model. The record is from RNAcentral.